CGACUAAGCGCAUACGGUGGAUGCCUUGGCAGUCAGAGGCGAUGAAAGACGUGGAAGCCUGCGAUAAGGCUCGGGGAGCUGGCAAACAAGCUGUGAUCCGGGCAUCUCUGAAUGGGGAAACCCACCGGUCUUCGGACCGGUACCGUACGGUGAAUACAUAGCCGUACGGGGCGAACUCGGGGAACUGAAACAUCUAAGUACCCGAAGGAAAGGACAUCAACCGAGACUCCGCAAGUAGCGGCGAGCGAACGCGGACCAGGCCAGUGGCAUGAUUAAGUAAAGUGGAACCGUCUGGAAAGUCGGGCCGUAGUGGGUGAUAGCCCCGUACACGUAAUCCUUAGUCAUGUCCUAGAGUAAGGCGGGACACGUGAAAUCCUGUCUGAACAUGGGGGGACCACCCUCCAAGCCUAAAUACUCGUAUGUGACCGAUAGCGAACCAGUACCGUGAGGGAAAGGUGAAAAG
Molecule: ribosomal RNA, 463 nt
Filed under: Kryptoperidinium foliaceum
Lineage: Eukaryota; Dinophyceae; Peridiniales; Kryptoperidiniaceae
Description: partial Bacterial large subunit ribosomal RNA
Rfam family: Bacterial large subunit ribosomal RNA
Source: RNAcentral